GAUUAUUUUUUCACACUAGAAGAGCACAACUUAUCAUAAAAAAAACCUAAAUCUCUUCUUUCUUUCUUACUACAAUCAUGACUUUUUGUUCUCCGUCACCAUGGCCGUUCCAUCGUCCUACUUUUCCCUUCAAUUAUCAUAUUCCUCUCACCCAUUUUUUGGAAUUAAGCAUCAAAAACUAUGUCAGUGAACAACUUAAUGUUAAAAUUUCCUGGUCUAAAAGUCUCUUUUUCUUCCUGUCUUUUAAGGUCAUGUCUUCAGACUGCUUGUACAUCUAAGAAGUUUGGCUCACGUGGAAUCAAAAAGCUCCCUCUCUAGUCACAAAUUCCUCUGCCUUUCUUGCUUCUAUAGCCUCUCAAUAAUUAAGACCAAUGCUUAUCGUUCCUCUCAACCUGAACAUGGGCAGCCCUUCUCAAAUUCAUGUAGUUAUGGCCGAUCAGUGGCCAAGGCCAAAAUCAGCAACGAACUGCCCCUUUGGUUCUUAUCCACAAUCCAAUGUUGAAGUUCUUGCUGCAGACCCUGAAGCACAGACCUCAAUACGCUUCUCAAAUGCUCUUCAGGGUCAGUUCUGUUUGGGCUACAGCCACACUGCCAGAGAAUGUAAUUCACUGUUCAGGCAGGUGUCUAUGCUAUCGUGGGCCCAUAUUGAUUCUCUUUGAUGCUCAUGAAACAUCGUAGUUUUCUAAUACCGGCACUGCUGCUCAUAUGACUGACACACUAGUCUCAGGAUUUUUGGGAUUUGGUCGAAUAUGGUUUCGUGGAUUUAGAAGACCCAGAUGAAGAGGCAGAAGAAAGAUUAAAAGAAACCAAAAAGAAGGAUUCCAAAGCUUUAUUCCUAGUUCAACAAGCUGUCCAUGAAAUAAUUUUCUCAAGAAUUGUAAUAGCAGCAACAUCUUUGGAGGCCUGGCAAAUUUUGAAGAAAGAGUUCCAAGGCUCAUCGAAGGUAAUCACGGUAAAGUUACAAACAUAUCGUCGUGAAUUUGAAACUCUGUCUAUGAAAAAUGUUGAAUAUAUUCAAGCUUAUUUGUUUAGAGUUUCUUCUCUAGUUAAUCAAAUGAAGUCGUAUGGUGAAGUGAUUUAUGAAGAAACGGUUGUUGCAAAAGUAUUAAGGAGUCUUACUCUUAAAUUUGAACAUAUUGUUGCUGCUAUUGAGGAAGCCCAUGAUUUAUCAAAUUAUUCAUUUGAUGAACUAAUGAGUUCCUUACAAGCUCAUGAAGACAGAUUGCUUAGAUCAUAUGAAAAGAAUGAAGAAAAAGCCUUUCAGGUGAAGGUGGAGAUGCAUGAAAAUACUUCUAGAUGUGGCAGUGGUAGUGGCAGUGGCAUAGGUGUCUUUCAUGAAGGAGGCCAAGGAAAAGGUGCAGACAGAAGUGCAUCUAAUGAAGAGAGGCAAAGGAAGAUCUUUAAAUGUUACUACUCUAACAAACCAGGUUGUAGAGAGGCUUAUUGUUGGAAAAAACAAAAAGAUGAGAACAACCAAGCAAGUUUUGCAGAGGAACCAGAUGAAGAAAGUAAGUUAUUUAUGGCUCUUUUUUGUGAGAGAGAGUAGUCUAACAAUGUUUGGUUUUUGGACAGAAGUUGUUCUAACCAUAUGUGUGGAACAAAAUCAUUAUUUAAGGAACUUGAUGAGUCCGAUAAAACAGAUGUAAUGCUAGGAGACAGCAAGAAGAUUUGAGUUGAAGGCAAAGGUACUAUAAACAUUAAAACUAGUCAAGGGAAUGUUAAGAUUUUACAAGAUGUGAUGCUUGUUCCUGAUUUAUCUCAUAAUUUGCUUAGCAUUGGGCAAUUAAUGAUUAGUGGAUAAUCAAUUCAGUUUGACGAUGAUUGUUGCACUAUUAGAGAUAAGAAAUCUGGGCAAAUCACCGCUAAAGUUCCGAUGGCUAAAAAUAAAAUAUUUCCGCUAGAAGUUUCAAUGAAUGAGAAUUGUGUUAUGGUUACUAGUGGUGAUAGUAGGACUCGAUUGUGGCAUUUACGUUAUGGGCACUUAAAUGUUAAUAGGUUAAAAUUAUUGAGUCAAAAGAAAAUGGUUUUUGGUUUGCCAAAACUUGAGAAUCUUGGUUUUUGUGAAGGUUGUGUUUAUAGAAAACAGAGUAAAAAGUCUUUUCCCAUAGGAAAGGCCUGGAGAGCCUCUAAUUGCCUUGAGUUAGUGCAUGCAGACUUGUGUGGCCUUAUGAAUACAAAAUCUCUUGGUGGUAGUCGAUAUUCUCUGCUGUUUACAGAUGAUUAUAGCCGCAUGAGUUGGGUUUAUUUUUUAAAAAGCAAGUCUGAAACUUUUAACAGAUUUAAGAAGUUUAAAGCACUUGUAGAAAGAAACAAGGUCUUUUAAUAAAGACAUUGCGAAAAGAUAGAGGAGGUGAAUUUAUUUGAACUGAUUUUAAUACUUUUUGUGAGGAAAAUGGAAUUCGCAGGGAACUUGCAGCGCCAUACACACUACAACAAAAUGGUUUAGCUGAAAGAAAGCACAGAACAGUAGUGGAGAUGACCAGAAGUAUGAUGCAAGCAAAAGGUCUUCCUAUUUAUUUUUGGGCAGAAGCUGUUGCAACAGCGGUGUAUAUUCUUAAUUUAUCUCCUACAAAAGCUGUUCGUAAUCAAACACCUGUUGAGGCUUGGACAGGUAGAAAACUAACGAUCCUAUUCACUUUGAAAAAGCUGCAAAAAGCAAGGAAUGGUAUAAAGCUAUGGAAGAAGGAGUUGUUAGCUAUUAAGAAAAAUCAAAUAUGGGGAUUUGGUUGACUUACCGAAA
Carica papaya (papaya) is the source of this 2740-nucleotide non-coding RNA. Lineage: Eukaryota; Viridiplantae; Streptophyta; Magnoliopsida; Brassicales; Caricaceae. The record is from RefSeq and is a predicted model, not a curated record.